GGUUAAGCGACUAAGCGUACACGGUGGAUGCCCUGGCAGUCAGAGGCGAUGAAGGACGUGCUAAUCUGCGAUAAGCGUCGGUAAGGUGAUAUGAACCGUUAUAACCGGCGAUUUCCGAAUGGGGAAACCCAGUGUGAUUCGUCACACUAUCAUUAACUGAAUCCAUAGGUUAAUGAGGCGAACCGGGGGAACUGAAACAUCUAAGUACCCCGAGGAAAAGAAAUCAACCGAGAUUCCCCCAGUAGCGGCGAGCGAACGGGGAGCAGCCCAGAGCCUGAAUCAGUGUGUGUGUUAGUGGAAGCGUCUGGAAAGGCGCGCGAUACAGGGUGACAGCCCCGUACACAAAAAUGCACAUGCUGUGAGCUCGAUGAGUAGGGCGGGACACGUGGUAUCCUGUCUGAAUAUGGGGGGACCAUCCUCCAAGGCUAAAUACUCCUGACUGACCGAUAGUGAACCAGUACCGUGAGGGAAAGGCGAAAAGAACCCCGGCGAGGGGAGUGAAAAAGAACCUGAAACCGUGUACGUACAAGCAGUGGGAGCCUCUUUAUGGGGUGACUGCGUACCUUUUGUAUAAUGGGUCAGCGACUUAUAUUCUGUAGCAAGGUUAACCGAAUAGGGGAGCCGAAGGGAAACCGAGUCUUAACUGGGCGUUAAGUUGCAGGGUAUAGACCCGAAACCCGGUGAUCUAGCCAUGGGCAGGUUGAAGGUUGGGUAACACUAACUGGAGGACCGAACCGACUAAUGUUGAAAAAUUAGCGGAUGACUUGUGGCUGGGGGUGAAAGGCCAAUCAAACCGGGAGAUAGCUGGUUCUCCCCGAAAGCUAUUUAGGUAGCGCCUCGUGAAUUCAUCUCCGGGGGUAGAGCACUGUUUCGGCAAGGGGGUCAUCCCGACUUACCAACCCGAUGCAAACUGCGAAUACCGGAGAAUGUUAUCACGGGAGACACACGGCGGGUGCUAACGUCCGUCGUGAAGAGGGAAACAACCCAGACCGCCAGCUAAGGUCCCAAAGUCAUGGUUAAGUGGGAAACGAUGUGGGAAGGCCCAGACAGCCAGGAUGUUGGCUUAGAAGCAGCCAUCAUUUAAAGAAAGCGUAAUAGCUCACUGGUCGAGUCGGCCUGCGCGGAAGAUGUAACGGGGCUAAACCAUGCACCGAAGCUGCGGCAGCGACGCUUAUGCGUUGUUGGGUAGGGGAGCGUUCUGUAAGCCUGCGAAGGUGUACUGUGAGGUAUGCUGGAGGUAUCAGAAGUGCGAAUGCUGACAUAAGUAACGAUAAAGCGGGUGAAAAGCCCGCUCGCCGGAAGACCAAGGGUUCCUGUCCAACGUUAAUCGGGGCAGGGUGAGUCGACCCCUAAGGCGAGGCCGAAAGGCGUAGUCGAUGGGAAACAGGUUAAUAUUCCUGUACUUGGUGUUACUGCGAAGGGGGGACGGAGAAGGCUAUGUUGGCCGGGCGACGGUUGUCCCGGUUUAAGCGUGUAGGCUGGUUUUCCAGGCAAAUCCGGAAAAUCAAGGCUGAGGCGUGAUGACGAGGCACUACGGUGCUGAAGCAACAAAUGCCCUGCUUCCAGGAAAAGCCUCUAAGCAUCAGGUAACAUCAAAUCGUACCCCAAACCGACACAGGUGGUCAGGUAGAGAAUACCAAGGCGCUUGAGAGAACUCGGGUGAAGGAACUAGGCAAAAUGGUGCCGUAACUUCGGGAGAAGGCACGCUGAUA
RNAcentral lists this ribosomal RNA (1712 nucleotides) under Escherichia coli. Its description in RNAcentral is "partial 23S ribosomal RNA". It matches the Rfam family "Bacterial large subunit ribosomal RNA", at positions 1 to 1756 of the family's 2925-position model. Lineage: Bacteria; Pseudomonadati; Pseudomonadota; Gammaproteobacteria; Enterobacterales; Enterobacteriaceae. The record is from RNAcentral.